RNAcentral lists this ribosomal RNA (411 nucleotides) under Dolichogenidea sp. n. 'Mardulyn & Whitfield'. RNAcentral describes it as "Dolichogenidea n. sp. 'Mardulyn & Whitfield' partial 16S large subunit ribosomal RNA". Lineage: Eukaryota; Metazoa; Arthropoda; Insecta; Hymenoptera; Braconidae. The record is from RNAcentral.
GUUUUAUAGAAAAAUAAUUUUAAGUCAAAUCUGCUCAAUGAAAAUUUAAAUAGCUGCAGUAUAAUUGACUGUACAAAGGUAGCAUAAUAAUUAGUUUUUUAAUUGAAAACUAGAAUGAAAGAUUUAAUGAAAUAAAUACUGUCUCAAAUUUAUUAAAUAAAAUUUUUAUUUAAAUUAAAAAAUUUAAAUAAAUUUAAAAGACGAGAAGACCCUACAGAAUUUUUAUAAUUAUUAAAAUUAAUUUUUUAAUUAAUUAUUUUAAUUGGGGUAAUUUUAAAAUUUAAUUAAUUUUUAAUUUAAUUAACAUUUAUUUUUGAAUAAUUAAUCCUUUUUUAAAUUAAUUAAAUUUAAAUUACCUUAGGGAUAACAGCAUAAUUUUUUUAAAAAGUUCAAAUUUAUAAAAAAGUUUAU